RNAcentral lists this long non-coding RNA (16569 nucleotides) under Solanum tuberosum (potato). Its description in RNAcentral is "long non-coding RNA (STUB_LNC004391)". The record is from RNAcentral. Lineage: Eukaryota; Viridiplantae; Streptophyta; Magnoliopsida; Solanales; Solanaceae.
GUCAAUUUUGACCAAACCCCAUUAUGUUUUAUGGAUCUUUAGUAUAUCUUUUUAUUAUAUGGUUUAUUGUAUUUUAAAGUUUACAAUUAUUGAUCUCCGCAGGACAUCUUUUUAUUUUGAUCCCAACAAACAAGUUCUACAAGAAAUAUUUUAUAUUGAAGUCCUCCUCACUCUCCAACCGCACAAAUCUUCACUCCCACAAAGUUUACUUUAUAUUUCUGGUGGAUCGUUUUAUAUAUCUUUGUUGCUCAUCACGUGUUUGUGUACAAAUUACCUAAAAGGCAAUUAGGGUCAAAUCUUUCUAUAAUAGCAGUAUUUGUUUAAAAUUUUUAUGAUUAUAUUAUAGUGAGAUAUUGCUAUAUAUGUAUAUUAGUAUUUAAUGUUUAGAUCUUAUUUAGAUACUAUAUAUAAACAAAAGUAUGUAAAAUUAGAAAGGAUGUGAAUGUAAAGAAUGACAAACACUUAUAGUCUUUCCCCGUGAAGUUAUGGCCAUGCACCAUUACACAAUAUAUAUUUUUUAUGAAUAUCUGUAUUUGAGUUUUACUAUGUUUAUUUAAUAAUGAAUUAAUUAAGGUAAAAAAAGAUAAUACAAAGGUGAUGAUAAUUCAGUUGAGCAACCACAACUGUAUAUAUAUCGAUGCGCCGCAAAUGGAACAAAAAUUUUCUAACCUAACUUUAUAAAUUUCUUGCAAGUUUGUACAAAAAACAGAUAUAGAUAGUAAAAGUGUAAACAUUUGAUAUUAUAUUUCUCUUUUGACAUUCAAUACUCACUUUAAUUGGUUAAAUUUUAAGGGGUAAAACAUUUCUUAUUAAAAAGGAUUAUAAUCUUAAGGCACAAACUUAAAUCUUCUAGGUAAGAAUGAAGUACUUAUCGACCACUUCACCAUAACAUUUUGUGGUCUAAACUCUAAAGUGAAACGAAAUAUAUAGUUCUAAGCAUUGCCUAUAAAUAGUCAGUGGUGGAUUCAUGAUUUUAAUUGAAGGAGUUCGAAACAUAAAAAUAAAAUAUAGUGCUUGAAAUUUGAAACUUCAAGGUGCAUUUUAACACCUAAACAACCGAGCCAAUUCAUGUGUUCACAUAAUUCAGAAUCGAUCGCUAAAUAUACAUAAAAUUCAAAAAAUUAUCUUCAUUUAUAGUGUAUUUUUUUGUAGAUAAGGUUCAGUUACACUUUCAUGAGUCAUGAGGCUCCAGAUCCGCUCCUAUAUAUAGAUAGUGUCAAAUUUCUUAUAAUACACGUCAAUGUAAGCAUAUUGUAUGAUUUUAUAAUAUUGUUAACUAGCUAUUUUUAAUACUCAAACUCGCAAUCUAUAAUUAAAAAGGAACAAGUAAAAACAACAAUCUUUAAGUUUAGUAGUUAAAACAUUUGAUGAUGACACUCUUUUAACUUUUUCUUACCAACUAAUUUGCAAGUAGAUAAUGUAUUCAGAAAGUGUCAUUUUAUUAUACGAUAACUUGUAAGUAAUCUAUAUAUAUAUAAUUUAAAUAAAAUGGUAGAAUUUAACAAAUUCAAAACCUUCGUAAAUGGACAAAGCCGGUCAACUAUAUUAAUUAAGUGGUAGAUAAUUUUCACACUAUUGCAUUAUUUAACAAUACUUCAUCCGUCUCAAAAUAUUUAUUCAUAUUUCAUUUUUUGAAAGUUAAUUUGGCUAAAUUUUGAAGCUAAAUUAAAUUAAUAUGAUAUUUUCAAAUUUUAGCUUAGAUGUUCAAGAACUUCAUGAAAAAUAUUAUAAAUUGUAUUUUUUUCUAAUAUCAAUAUGGUAAAAACAUCCUAACAGUUGAUCAAAGUACAUUCAAUUACUUUGCUAUAAUAAAUUGAACAUUGUAUGUGGGUAAAUAUUUACCAUAUUUAGGACUCAAUUUAAUGAAUCAAUCGAGACGUAAGUAUGAUGUAAUUAGAUCACGUUAGAGUAUUGCUUUUGCUAAAUUUAUUAGCUCCACUAAUUUGAAAUUCCAUGGUGUAGUGUAGGAUAUAAAUUCUUAGUAAGAUUGAUUUAAAAUAUAAAAAGUAAAUACUGAUGAAAAAAAAAAUCAACAUAUAAUAAACAUAUAUAAAAAUAUAAAUAAAAGGUAACUUAUAGAAAUUUCACUAUUUUACAUUUAGGAGCUAAUUACUUAAAUGUACUCUAGUUUGCAAUAAGUAGAUUUUGGUACGUUCAAAUACACUGAAUCUAAGUGGAUUCACAUGUAUCUGAGAAACAAAGACAAACUCACAUCCUUUGCCUCCCUCACACAGUGGCGGAGGGAGGAUUUUCAUCAAGGGGGUUCAAAAAAAAAAUUAAUCACGUAAAUAAUAUCUACAAAUAAAUUAAACGGGUCGAAUCGGAUAUAAAACGGGUCGGAUUAAACUGUCGAAUCAAGAAGAAAAGGGUUUUUUAAUAUUUGACUUUAUAAUUAGGGAUUAAACUAAUAAAUCCUAAAUUUCCAAUCAUCGUUUUAUUUUUUUGGAACUAAACAUCAUUUUCUGAUUGCAUUAUUAUAUUUUUUAAAUAAAUUAAAAACGCCUAAAAUAUAAGCUGAUAAAAGAAAUGCCUCUGCCCGGAUUCGAACACGCGACCUCGCGUGCAGUAGAGUGAAUUCCUGAACCCCCAACGCCACUGAGCUACGCCUUUGGUGUAUGUUCAGGGGGUUCAGUACUAUAUAUAAACACGUAUAUUAAAAAUUUAAUCUUAUAUAUAUAGUGUAAUUUUUCGACGAAGGGGGUUCGGAUGAACCCCCUUCGUCCUACGUAAAUCCGCCCCUGCCCUCACAUCUUGCACGCCACUCUCCUAUGUGUUUGUAUCUCAGAUACAUACGAAUCACACCAGACACAUAUAAAUACAUGUCUAAUAUGUAUCUAGUGUAAUUCAAUGUACCUGGAAUAUACAAAUCUCUUUCCCCACCUCACUCACAUCUCCCUAUUUCAAUGUAUUUGUUGAUAGCAAAAAUACAAAUAUUAUCUUCCUUAAUAUAACCACCCCCUCUUUGGAUUUCACUACUUUGACUCUAACCAGAAAUUCUACACGUUUUGUUUAUGAAUAUAAUAAAUGAUCUAAAAAAAUAUCUUCUUGUUCUGGAUUCUUCGUCAUUUUUAAAAAUAAAAUAAAAAACUACAACUCUACAAAUUGAUUAUUUCCACGAUUUUAUACACGUUAUGCAAAUGUAAAGAUAAGACAUUAAAUAUUUUGGUUAUGCUUCUAUCAAAAUUGGUUUUGAGAUGGUGUGUUGAUCAUGGAUUCAAUAUUCUUACUAUUGAAUCUGAUUUCAUGAUUGUGACAAUGACAUUCAUUCUUUGCUAGUUCAACCAUAUUUUUAGAGAAGGGAACUCUACUACUGAUCUUUAAGUAGUUUGUGGAGGAUAAGAUGCACACAAACUUUAUCUCCCUACCUUUGUAAGGUAGAUACGAUAGACUAUUUCCGCUACAUCCUCGACUCAAAAGAGAAUUAUCUUUGGGAUUCUUCAUAUCGGGACUGCUCAACUGAAACUAAUUUUGGCCAAUAUUCAAGUCCUUGGGCCUAAUACAACGAUAGCCCAAUUAUGACAUCCUUAACCCAACUAUAUAGUUUGUUUUUAGUAUUUUAAUCCUCAGUUUACUUGCUUAAAUAAGCAAUUCUUUGUACAAUUUUAUUCAGAGAGAGAAAUACAUAAAAUAUCUCAAACUUGUUCUUCAAGAUUUUCUGUGAAAUUUUUGAGAAAAUAAUCUUAUUUGAUUGGUUUAUUAAUUAUCUUUUCUAGUAAAUUGAACUAAGUAAAUUCAAAAAUCGGCAACGUUAUUUAUUAUAUUCUAAAUAUGUAGUGUAAUAUUAGUAACUCAAUCUUUAUAUUUUUUUAAAGAAUCUUGACAAUUUUUAAAAUAAUAUAUGAUUAAAUGUGAACAGAUUUAGAAUAAACAAAUCAAGAAGUAAAAUAAAGAAGAAUACUGCAAAGCAAAAACGAAAAAAAACACAAAAGAUUAUAAUUAAGAAAGCUUAAUGAAGCAGAACACUUAACGAGGCAUGACAAGGCAUUUUAAUUUAGUGAAUUAAGGUUAGUCUUUUUCUUUCUGUUCCACUUUGUUUGUCAUCUGUAAUUUUCACAUAUUUAUUUCUUCAUGUUUUGAAUCCCUUAGUAAAAACUUUAUUUUCACCACAUAUAGUGCAAUACAACACUUAAAUAGUUGCAAUCUCAUAUAUAUGAAUUAUAGAUUUAUAGCCUCUUACAAUCAUUGUAAAUCGGUCCAUGUGGAUCAAAAUGACUUGCAAAGCGACCAUAUAAUAUUUGUGGGAAGCAUUGAAGAUCAAGUACAAAGAGCAUGUAAAGACCGGGUUCCGUCGUCAUAGAGAAGCCAAUGGGAAAAUUUUUGGGUCAGAAAACUUUUUCGUAGUAAUUUGGAUUUUUCCAACCUAGUCCAAAUUUGGACGGAAUCGGAGUCAUUAAGGUGUAGGCAAAUGGUAACAAUUGGGUGAUUUAUUUAAAAUUUUGAUUACAUGAGGGGAUAGAUAACUCGUUAAGGAAUCCGUACGGCUUUACGGAAUUGAAUUCGGGCGAUUAGAAAUCCCAGAAUCGAUCUUAGCGUGAAUGGUAUUUUCUGAGCAUCGUUGGUUAGAGGUGUGUUAAAUGGGGAUUUUGGAAUUUUUAAAAUAGCUCACUGGUUCGUGCAAGCCGCCUUGGCAGGGAUUUUUGCCACUCUGGCGGGGACGCUACAACGGGGUGAGGGCCGCUGUGGCGGGCUCGAUGCGACUUAAGGUCGUUAAUAAACCCCUAAACGACCUUAUUAUGAACUUUUCGACUUUUAGAGCUAAGGAACGAACCCAGGCGACUCCUACUCGUUUUUCACCAUUCUUAAGGCUAAAGGUAAGCUUUUCACUCCCCGAAUCCGAUUUUCAAUCUGUAGAAUGUAGUAGAAUGGGUAAUUAAUGAUGGGGGAGGGUUUUGAUCUAGAAUCUAUGGUGGAAACAACCCUAAUUGGGAUAAUUAGGAUCAUGGGUAUGAUCUAGGGUUCAUAGAAUUGUUAGUGAUUCGGGUAAUUAGUGAUUGUUUAUUGAUUCCCGUGUUAUUAUGAUUAUUUGUAGACCAAGAACAAGCGGAACGGAUCAGGAAAGGGAAAGAUCAAGUUUCUUAGGAUUUCAAGAUUGUUUCGAGGUAGGUGAUGGCUGUGAUUCUGUGAUUGUGUGAUAUAUGUUUGUUCUUGCUUCAUUAUGAUACUUGCAUGUAUUUGAAUGUUGCAUUAUUGAUCACACUUGAUAUAAAUGAGAUAGAUAUAUGAUGAUUGUCAUGAAACCAUGACUUAAAUGUGUGAUCUUGAGGAUGUACUUGUGAUUGUGAUUGUGAUGUAUUGAAUGCAUCGGUUGCCACGUUCCAACAUAACUAAGUUGGAUAGGUUGCACGUUCCGGCAUAACAAUGGCAUCGGUUGCCAUGUUUUGGCAUAAUUAUCGGAUCGGGUACCACGUUCAGGUAUGUUAACUGUUUGGGUUUGGGUUCCAUGAAAGGACCAAUGAUUUGAUAUAAUUGUGUAUCUUGAGAAAUGUGAAGUUGUUCGUUGUUACUAAAUGUUACUAAUAUUGUAUAUGUUCGAUAUAUGCAUGUGAUUAUAUUAUUGUGAUGACUUAUAUAUGUUGCACUUAGUGGGAUAGCCGCGUGAUCCUACCAGUACACUAUGGUUAUGUACUGAUACUGCACUUGCUCUUAUUUUUGUUGAGUACAGGGCAUCUUCAAGCGACUACUGACAAACCUCGCUUAGGAGAUCAGUGAUCUUUCGAAUUCAAGGGUGAGUCAAUUCUUCCAGGCUACCAUGGGUUCUCUUUCGUCUAUGUCUACCAUUUUCGGACUUAGACUAUGUACUAGUUAGUUGAUUAGUUCAUUUGAUUGGGGUUGCAUCCCUUCUUGUUUAGACUUGUUGAACUUUAGAUGUUUUGGUACAUUGACUUUCAGGUUCUAGGUUAUUUCUUCCGCAUUGUUUAGUUCGUUGUUAGACUUUUGUUGGAGUUUAUGGGAACUCCUUAUUUCUUUCCUUAGUAUUUAAAUUUCUUUCGUAUCCUUAAAUGCCUUAGUUUUAGAUUAGUUGCUUGGUUUGAGUUGUAGUAGUGGUUCUCCCAUCGGAGUGUUAAUGUGGGUGCCAAUCACGACGAUCUGGGUCAUGACAAAGUUGGUAUCAGAUCCUAGGUUCGUUGAUCUUGAUGUGCCAAAAUGAUUCUAGUAGAGUCUCGCAGAACGGUACAGGGACGCCUUUACUUUUCUUCGAGAGGCUAUAGGACUUUAGGAAAUCUCUCUAUUUUCUCUUGUCUCCUUUCGUGCUGUAACUUGAUUCCAAUUGGUAUCUAUCGAUUCGAAUUGGUAUCUAACAUCAUUCACUCUUUUGUCCACAGAUGGUUAACACUAGGUCUAAUGGCGUCAGCCCGUAGCUCCCGUCAAUGCUCCAGCUGAGAAAUUUGCAGCGAGAGGUCGCGGUCGAGGCAGGAGUAGAGGAAGAGCUAGGGUUAUAGGCCGAGAAAAAGUGGCGCCUGCUGGGAAUGAGGUACCGGUUGAGAAUGCCCUUGUGAAUGAGAACCCUUUGGUGCAUCGUGAAGAGUUAGAAGAGGAUAUUGAGGUUGAUAAUGUUGAGGAGGUUGGACAAGAGGAAGAGGUGCAGACUGAGACUACAAAUGUUCCUCUCAUAGAUCCAGUCUUAGCUCGACAGAUCAUGUCAUUCUUGAAAGGGUUGGUUGGUCCUGGAGUGCUUCCUUCUGCUCAAGCGACUCAAGUUCCUACUAAUCCUCAUAUUGCUAGCAUUGCGCCCAAGACGGGUGGAACGAGAGGUAAUAAUGUUUUCUUCUGUCCUUUGUUGGGUUCUGUUAUGACUGGUAAUGAGCAUGAAAUGUUGAUUAAGUUUUUGAAGGUAAAGCCUCAUGUGUUUCUUGGUUCUGAGAGUGAGGAUGCUUAUGAGUUCAUCUUAGAUUGCUAUGAGAGGCUUGAUAAAUUGGGCAUUGUUCAUCAACAUGGGGUUGAGUUUUUUGUCUUUCCAACUUCAAGGUGAGGCCAAGCAGUGGUGGAGAGCUUAUAUGGAAUGCAGAUCUUCUACUUUACCUCCACUUACUUGGACUCAAUUUCAUGCUCUGUUCUUGGAAAAAUAUGUGCCUAGAACUUUGAGAGAUUGUAAGAAAGAUGAAUGUAUGGCUUUGGAACAAAGUGGUACGUCUGUGGCUGCUUAAAAGGCCAAGUUUCACGAUUUGUCUAGAUAUGCUACUCAAUUGGUAACUAUUGAGGAGAAGAGGAUUCUACUUAUUUAUUAGGGGACUGAAUUCUGAGUUGCAAGUACUAUUUGUUCAUAUGACUUCUGCAGAGAGGAGCUUCAAUGAGGCUUGGAAAAAUAUGUGCCUAGAACUUUGAGAGAUUGUAAGAAAGAUGAAUGUAUGGCUUUGGAACAAAGUGGUACGUCUGUGGCUGCUUAAAAGGCCAAGUUUCACGAUUUGUCUAGAUAUGCUACUCAAUUGGUAACUAUUGAGGAGAAGAGGAUCUACUUAUUUAUUAGGGGACUGAAUUCUGAGUUGCAAGUACUAUUUGUUCAUAUGACUUCUGCAGAGAGGAGCUUCAAUGAGGUAACAGAUUAUGUUAAGAAAGUGGAUGGGGUGAGGCGAGACGGUCAGACUAAGGCAUUGGCAAAAAGGGCUAAGAUUCCAGGCUACUUUCAAGGUUCUUAUUCCAGAGGUUCAGGGAGGCCAACGCUUGCAGCCAAGCCAAUUCAGUCCGAUAUGCCCGCCUCUACAGGUAAUUACUCAGGAACUCCAUCUCAUCAUUUUAAGGAUAGCCAGAGAGUCGCCCAUUCGACGGGUGACAGACCAUCUUUUGAUCGUACUUGCUACAAUUGUGGAGAACCUGGGCAUAUGAGGAGAUUGUCCCCACUUACGUGUAUUAGAUGUCGUGCAACAGCCUUCUAGAGCAGUGGUACCCGCGUGGAAUGGUAAUAAUGGUAGAGAACGUCCAUAAGGUGGGCGAGGAGGUAAUCAGCGAGGUCGUGAAGGUAGAGGAUAUGGUAAUGCAGGCAGGGGUAAUGCGCAACCAGGCAGGGAAAUGGCUUGUCAAGAUGAUAGGGCUCAAUGUUAUGCUUUUUCGGGCAAAAAUGAGGCAGAGACGUCUGAUUCGGUGAUCACAGCUACUAUUUUUGUUUGUGACCGAAUGACUAAUGUGUUAUUUGAUCCAGGUUCUACUUAUUCAUAUGUAUCCGUGAGAUUUGCCUCAGAUUUUGAUAUGAGUUGUGAUUUUCUUAAUGCCCUUAUUCAUGUUUCUACCCCAGUUGGAGAGUCAGUCAUAGUUACCCAUGUCUAUCGUGCAUGUCCUAUUUUGUUUAUGGGUUUUCAGACUUGGGCUGAUUUGGUGAUUUUGGAUAUGACUGAUUUUGAUAUAAUCUUCGGCAUGACUUGGUUGUCCCCCUAUUAUGUUGUACUAAGUCUGUAACUCUAUAAAUUUUGGAAAGGGGAAAAUCAGAGUGGGAAGGGGUGUACAAGCCUAAGCAAGCUAAGAUUAUAUCCUCCAUUCGGGCUAGUAAAUUAGUAUAGCAGGGUUGUUUGGCUUAUUUGGCUCAUAUUAUAGAUGUUGAGAUUGAAGCUCCAUCCAUUGGGUCUAUUCUUGUGGUGUCAAAAUUUAGAGAAGUGUUUCCUAAUGACUUGCCUGGUAUGCCUCUAGAUAGAGAUAUAGAUUUUUGCAUUGAUUUUGAGUCUGGUACUCGUCCCUUUUCCAUCCCUCCAUAUCGCAUGGCUCCAACAGAGUUAAGAGAGCUUAAAAGCUCAAAAUCCAAGAGCUUCUUGAUAAGGGAUUUAUUCUUCCUAGUGCUUCCCCAUGGGGGUGCUCUAGUUUUGUUGUUAAAGAAAAAAAAUGGUAGUAUGAGAAUAUGUAUAGAUUACCGGCAAUUGAAUAGGGUCACUAUUAAAAACAAGUACCCCUUUGCCUCGAAUAGAUGAUUUUUUUGACCAAUUGCAAGGGGCAACAAUUUUCUCUAAGAUUGAUCUAAGAUCCGGUUACCAUCAAUUGAAAAUUAGGCCUGAGGAUGUGCCCAAUACAACAUUUAGAACUCACUAUGGGCACUAUGAGUUUUUGGUUAUGUCUUUUGGUUUGACCAAUGCGCAUGCAGCUUUCAUAAGUUUAAUGAAUGAGGUGUUCAAGCCAUUUCAUGAUUCUUUCGUUAUAGUCUUUAUUGAUGAUAUUUUGGUUUAUUCGAAAAGUAAGGAAAAGCAUGCCGACCAUCUUCGUAUUGUUUUGGGUAUUCUAGGGAAGCAAAGAUUGUAUGCUAAAUUUUCUAAAUGUGAAUUUUGGUUGACUUCGGUUGCAUUUUUGGGACAUGUAGUUUCAAAAUAAGGGGUAAUGGUAGAUCCUCAAAAGAUUAAGGCGGUUAAGAAUUGGGUUCGGCCUAGCUCAGUGACAGAAGUUAGGAGUUUUGUGGGGCUCGCCAGCUAUUAUCGUCAUUUUAUGAAGAAUUUUGCUUCUAUUGCUACUCACUUGACUAAUUUGACCAAAAAGGAGAUACUAUUUGAAUGGACUGAAAAAUGCGAGGAGAGCUUUCAAAAGCUCAAGACUCUCUUGACCACCGCACCUAACCUAGCAUUACCAGUGGAAGAUAAGGAUUUUAUUAUUUAUUGUGAUGCUUCACAUUCUGAUUUGGGUGCUGUGUUGAUGCAGGAUAAAAAUGUUAUGCCUCAUGUCAAUUGAAGGUGCAUGAAAGGAAUUAUCUCACACAUGAUUUGGAGUUGGCAGCGAUAGUGUUUACUCUUAAGAUCUGACGACAUUACCUCUAUAGUGUUAAGUGUGAGGUAUUUAUCGAUUAUCGUAGUUUGUAGCAUGUGUUCACUCCAAAAGAUCUGAAUUUAAGACAGCGAAGGUGGAUGGAGUUACUUAAAGAUUAUGAUGUGACCAUUCAAUACCAUUCGGGCAAGGCUAAUAUGGUGGCAGACGCUUUGAGUCAAAAAAUGGUGAGUAUAGGUAGUUUAGCUUGCUUGAAUGUAUCCAAGUGACCCUUGGCUAAUGAAAUUCAGACCUUGGAGUCUAAGUUCAUGUAUUUGGGCAUCUCAGAAAGAAGUGGGUUGUUAGCUAGCAUUGAAGUAAGGGUCACAUUCAUGGAUGAGAUCAAUGCCAAACAAUUUGAAGAGGAAAAUUUGGAGGAGCUUAAAAAGAAAACUGCUAUUGGUAAGGCACAAGAGACCACCCUUGAUGCGGAUGGUGUGCUCAAUUUUAAAGGGAGAAUAUGUGUUCCUAGAGUAGAUGAGUUGAUUGAGAAAUUGUUGGCAGAGUCUCAUGGUUCGUGAUAUUUUAUCCAUCCGGGCAUAACCAAGAUAUACCUAGAUUUGAAGCGAAUUUAUUGGUGGCCGGGCAUGAAGAAGGACACAGCGGAGUUUGUGGCGAAGUGUACAAAAAAUUGUCAACAAGUAAAGUAUGAACAUCAAAGGCCGCAGUUUUGCUUCAAAGAAUGUCAAUUCCGGAGUGGAAGUGGGAAAGGAUAGCCAUGGAUUUUGUGGUUGGUCUUCCGAAGACUUUGGAAAAGUUCGAUUCUAUUUGGGUAGUGAUUGGUAAAUUGACUAAGUCAGCCCAUUUUAUUCCGGUAAUAAUAGAUUAUAAUGCUGAAUAAUUGGCUAAAGUUUAUGUGAAAGAGAUAGUGAGGUUGCAUGGGGUACCCAUCUGUAUCAUCUCAGACCGCGGUACACAGUUUACCUCCAAGUUUUGGAGGAAGUUACAUAAUGAAUUGGGCACACAACUCACUUGUAGUACAAAUUUCCAUCCACAGAUGGACGGGCAGUCAAAGAGGAAUAUUCAAGUGCUAGAAGACAUGUUGAGGGCAUGUGUGAUUGAUUUUGGANNNNNNNUGGGCAGUCAGAGAGGACUAUUGAAGUGUUAGAAGACAUGUUGAGGGCAUGUGUGAUUGAUUUUGGAGGGCAUUGGGAUAAAUUCUUACCUUUGUGUGAAUUCUCUAAUAAUAAUAGUUAUCAAUCCAGCAUUGAUAUGACACCAUUUGAGUCACUCUAUGGGAGGGGAUGUAGAUCACCCAUAGGAUGGUUUGAGGCUGUAGAUGUGAAACCAUUGGGGGUUUAUUUAGUAAAUAAUGCUCAAGAUAAGGUGAAGAGUAUUCAAGCUAAGUUUCUAGCAGCCCAGAGUAGACAAAAGAAGUAUGUGGAUCAUAAGGUAAGAGACAUGGCAUUUCAAUCCGGUGAAAAUGUUCUUCUUAAGGUAUCACCUAUGAAAGGGGUGAUGAGAUUUAGUAAGAAAGGUAAGCUAAAUCUGUUAUACAUUGGUCCCUUUGAGGUUCUUGAAUGUGCUGGACCGGUAGCGUAUAGAUAGACCUUACCUCCUAAUCUAUCGGGUGUUCACCCGGUAUUUCAUGUGUCCAUGUUGAAGAAGUAUCAUGGUGACGGGGAUUAUAUCAUUAAGUGAGACUCAAUUGUGUUAGACAAAGACCUCCAAUAUGAGGAGGAACCGAUUGCAAUUCUUGAUCGUGAUGUGCGUAAGUUGAAGACCAAGGAAAUUAAGUCCGUGAAUUGUUUGUCGAUUCAGGUACUACUUCAUUCCUUUCUUAGCCUACUUUUUUUCCUAAGUUAUUACUCGGGGACGAGUGAUGGGUAAAUUGGUAUCUACUGUAACGACCGAGUUUCGUUGUUAUAGAGAAGUCAACAGGGAAAUUUUUUGGGUUGGAAAACUUUUUCGUAGUAAUUUGGAUUUUCCCAACCUAGUCCAGAUUUGGAUGGAAUCGGAGUCAUUAAGGUAUAGGGAAAUUAGGUAACAAUCGAGUGAUUUAUUUAUAAUUCUGAUUACAUGAGGGGAUAGAUAACUCGUUAAGGAAUCCGUACGACUUUACGAAAUUAAAUUCGGGCUAGUAGAACUCUUAAAAUUGAUCUUAGCAUGAAGGGUUUUUUUUUAGCUUCGUUGGUUAGAGGUGAGUUGUGAAAUGGGGAUUUUGGAAUUAUUAAAUUAGCUCAUUGGUUCGUGCAAGCUGCCUUGGCAGGGAUUUUUGCCGCUCUGGAGGGCCGCUACAGCGGGGUGAGGGCCAUUGUGGAGGGCUCAACGCAACUUAAGGUCGUUAAUAAACCCCUAAAUGACCCUAUUAUGUACUUUUCAACGUUUAGAGCUAAGGAACGAACCCCAGGCGACUCCUACUCAUUUUUCACCAUUCUUGAGGCUAAAGGUAAGUUUUCACUCUACGAAUCCAUUUUUCGAUCCGUAUAACAUAAUAGAAUGGGUAAUUAAUGAUGGGGGAGGUUUGAUCUAGAUUCUAUGGUGGAAACAGCCCUAAUUGGGAUAAUUGGGAUCAUAGGUAUGAUUUAGGGUUCAUAGAAUUGUUAGCGAUUCGGGUAAUUAGUGAUUGUUUAUUGAUUCCCGUGUUAUUAUGAUUGUUUGUAGACUAAGAACAAGCGGAACAAAUUCGAAAAGGGAAAGAUCAAGUUUCUUAGGGUUUCAAGCUUGUUUCGAGGUAGGUGAUGGUUGUGAUGUAUGUUUGUUCUUGCUUCAUUAUGAUACUUGCAUGUAUUUGAAUGCUGCAUUAUUGAUCACACUUGAUAUAAAUGAGAUAGAUGAAUGAUGAUUGCCAUGAAAUCAUGACUUAAGUGUAUGAUUGUAAGGAUGUACUUGUGAUUGUGAUUGUGGUGAGUUGAAUGCAUCGGUUGCCACGUUCCGGCAUAACUAACUUGGAUCGGUUGCCACGUUCUGGCAUACCAAUGGGAUCGGUUGCCACGUUCCGGCAUAAUUAUUGGAUCGGGUACCAUGUUUCGGUAUGCUAACUGUUUGGGUGUUUGGGUUCCAUGAGAGGACCAAUAAUUUGAUAUAAUUAUGUAUCUUGAGAAAUGUGAAGUUGUUCGUUGUUAGUAAAUGUUGAUAAUAUUGUAUAUGUUUGAUAUAUGCAUGUGAUUAUAUUAUUGUGAUGACUUAUGUAUGUUGCACUUAGUGGGAUAGCCGCGUGAUCCUACCAGUACACUGUGGUUGUGUACUGAUACUGCACUUGCUCUUAUUUUUGUUGAGUACAGGGCAUCUUCAAGCGGCUACUGACAGACCUCGCUUAGGAGAUCAGUGAUCGUUCGAAUUCAAGGGUGAGCCAAUUCUUUCGGGCUGCCAUGGGUUCUCUUUCGUCUAUGUCCACCAUUUUUGGACUUAGACUAUGUUCUAGUUAGUUGAUUAGUUCAUUAGAUUGGGGUUGCAUCCCUCUUGUUUAAACUUGUUGAACUUUAGAUUUUUUUGGUACAUUGACUUUCAGGUUCUAGAUUAUUUCUUCCGCAUUGUUUAGUUCGUUAUUAGACUUUUGUUGGAGUUUAUGGGAACUCCUUAUUUCCUUCCUUAGUAUUUAAAUUGCUUUCGUAUCCUUAGAUGCCUUAGUUUUAGAUUAAUUGCUUGGUUUGAGUUGUAGUAGUGGUUCUCCCAUCGGAGUGUUAGUGUGGGUGCCAAUUACGACGGUCUGGGUCGUGACAGAGCACCACCCAAAAGUGAGGGUGCACGGCAAGUCUAAGUAGUAAGAAGAAAAUGAUACAAUGCAAUGUCAAGACUCAAGUGUAGUGAUGCAUAUCUGACCUAGCGAUACACAACUAUUGUCUCUUAAUCUGGGACUCAUAGGGGACAUAUAUGUCCAUGCAUUCAUCGCGGCGUACGACACGACUCUCGAUAAUAAAAUUCACCGUGACGUACGACACAUACUUCAAAUCAUAAUAUCAAUUGCGGCGGGCGACACGUCCCUCGAAUUGGUACAUCCUUUUAAUUCCUUAUUCCUCCUCAAUUCAUGUAACACGUGUCACAAUCAUGUCUCUGAACCAAUGCAAAUGACAUGUUCACCCAAAUAAUGAUAAAUGUCUAUUUCCAUAUCAAUGCACAAUUCACAACAAUACAAUUGUGAUAUAACAUCAACAAUGAAUCAAUAAACCUUUUAAAUCAUUUUCAACACAUCACACGUGCAUCAAUAUAUAAUCAAGUUGCCUUUUAUUACCCCCUUUUCAGCAUUAGGAUCAUUCAAUAUGAACAAGUCAAUCCAUCAUCAAAUCUCAUUACUUCUUAACAAAUACCAUAAGGAAUUACACUAUUCAAUAUCGGCUACAACAAAAAGUGAAUCUCUACCAACCACCACACACUCGGAAUUUCCAAACCAACUUCACCGACAGAUCAAUAUAUAUGACUUGGAGCAACUAUAGGGAGGAGUAAACCGAUAAUUUUAUUUUAAAAAGUCCAAAAAUGACCUUGUGGGUCAUUACACAAUUCUCAUGUUAAUUGACUCAAAAGACACAUGUGUCUAGCUACUUGUGCAUACCCAUAGUUGGAAACAUGCAUAAAUGUCAGUUGAAGCAAAGUGAAAUGGCACAUUAUGUAUUAUGUCUUUAUUUUAUUCUCUAUUAUCAAUGUAGAUAAAUGAAUUUUGAUUGUCAUUAAUAAAAAAAGUUUAAAAUUUAUAUAGAAUAUAAAUAAAUAAUCUUUCAAGAUUUUUUAUGAAAUAUAUAUUUAAUUUUAUUAAUUAUUUUUUAAUAUUAAUGCAUCAAAAUAUGUUUAUAUGGCUAUCAUAUUAUAGAUAUUUUUAAAAUUAAUAAAUUUUAUUUUUAUUUUGUUCAUUCAAGAAUGACAUUAGCUUAUAUACUCAAUCAAUAUUUUUUAUUUUUUUAGAUUAAUAUUUUAUUAUAGGCUAUCUGUUAUACAAAUGAAAAAAUAAUAAUAUUGUGAUUUUAAAAAAGUAUUAAAAAAAAGAUAAAGAUUGAUAAUGUAGGGUAGAAUAAACAUUUAAUAAAGUCAAUAAUGAAAAUGGGGGAAAUUAAAUGUUUCUCAAAGUUGAAGGGGGAGUUUGAUCUUUAAAAUAAAGUUGGGUGUAUAAAUGAUUUUCGCGCUAUUUAAUUAGCCAAUGAUUUUGAUAGCCCAUGGUUUUGUACAAAAAGUGGUUUUUAGUUGUCUAUAUAAGUAGAGAGGACUGUGAACAAUUUUUAAAUCAAGAAAAGAAUUUCAGUAAAACCCUAAAAACUCUCAUUUUUCCCUUUUCUAAAACAGCCACAGGUAUCCCGUUCUUCAUAUUUUCCGGUGAGCUCCACCACCCAAACACCACCUCCGCCCCCCCUCCUCUCCUUGUUUGCUGCUACCAGUAACCAAACCAACAACAUCCCAGAACCACAACCUAACCAUAUAUAUUUUGGCUUUGUUUAAUUAAUUGUUGAUUUGUUGUCUUAAUGUUUUCGGUUAAAUUUUAUUGAUUGUUGUUAUUUUUUGAUGAAUGUGUUUAUAUUUUUGGCAAUUUUUAGAUCUUUAAUAUGUUUGGCUACUAUUUGUCCAUUACUUCAUCAUUGUUGCUCUAUUUUUUAGUUUUAAUUUUUGAAUUUUUUUUAAUGCUAUUUAUCAAUUGUUUCCGUCGAUUUGUACAAAUGACCAAUGAAAAAGAUCUCUCUAUCGAUUUUUGAGGUCUUCUCAUUUUUAAAGACGGAAAGUUUAGUUUAAGUUUAUAUAACACAUCAUACAUUAAAAGUUAAAAUUGAUUGAUGAAGAAAUUUUCAUCGAUUUCUAAGGCCUUCCAUUUUAAUAAAAUUUAAGGGGUUAUUUAUUCCACUUUAGAAUAGUCAGUCCCUUGUAAAGUAUAUGUGUGUUGUUAGAUAUCCGAUAAUAGAUUGAAAGACCAAAUAGUAGAUAUUGAAUCCCUUUAAUUUUGAUUACUAUUUUUUUGAUGCAUUUUUUAUUUGAUUCAUGAAAAAUAAAUUGUACAAGGCUACAGGCAUGGCACAUAUUCAUGUAUUAUGAUAGUUAUAAUUGUUCCUUUUUCAUACCCAAAUGUAGGACAACUAAAAAGCAAUAGUGUAGAUAUUUUGUUAGUUAAUUUUUUAUUUUAUUUUAUUGCAUAAAUAGAGUUUAAAUAAAAAGUUGUAAAAGGGAAGUGAUGGCAACAUGUCCUAAAUUUGGUUUUCACCAAGAAAUCAUAUCUCAUUCUUGGUCAAAAAAUAAAUUAAGGAUUUGUUACCAUCACUCUCUUUUCCAACUUUUAUUUAAAAUCUGUUGUUUUGGUAAUAAAAAAAAUCAAAAAACUAACUAACAAAAUAUCCACACUGUUGAGUUUUAAUUAUCCUACAUCGAAGAACAAUUUGAAUUUUUAUUAUAAUUACAUGAAUAAGUGUUAUACUUAUAGCCUUGUAAAGUUAAUUUUUCAUGUAUAGAGAAGUAGUUAACUGCAAGCAAACGACCAAACCCUAUUAUGUUUUAUGCAUUUUUAGUAUAUCUUUUUAUUAUAUGGUUUAUUGUAUUUCAAAGUUUACAAUUAUUGCAGGACAUCUUUUUAUUUCGAUCCCAACAAACAAGUUUUACAAAAAAUAUUUUAUAUUGAGGGUGUCCUCCUCACUCUCCAACCGCACCAAAUCUUCACUCCCACAAAGUUUACUUUAUAUUUAUGGUGGAUCGUUUUGUAUAUCUUUGUUGCUCAUCAUGUGUUUGUGUACAAAUUACCUAAAAGGCAAUUAGGGUCAAAUCUUUCUAUAAUAGCAACAUUUGUUUAAAAGUUUUAUGAUUAUAUUAUAGUGAGAUAUUGCUAUAUAUGUAUAUUAGUCUUUAACGUUUAGAUCUUAUUUAGAUACUAUAAACAAAAGUAUGUAAAAUUAGAAAGGAUGUGAAUGUAAAGAAUGGCAAACACUUAUAGUCUUUCCCCGUGAAGUUAUGGCCAUG